This 72-nucleotide ribosomal RNA is filed under the name Schinkia azotoformans MEV2011. Its description in RNAcentral is "Bacillus azotoformans MEV2011 partial 23S ribosomal RNA". Lineage: Bacteria; Bacillati; Bacillota; Bacilli; Caryophanales; Bacillaceae. The record is from RNAcentral.
GUAGAUAGGUCUGAGGUGGAAGCGUAGCGAUACGUGGAGCUGACAGAUACUAAUCGAUCGAGGACUUAACCA